AUGGCGGCGAUUCGGCGUCUGAUCCCGUCCUUCAACCGGGUGCUGGUGGAGAAGGUGGUGCAGCCCAAGAAGAGCGCCGGCGGCAUCCUCCUCCCGGAGACCUCCAAGCAGCUGAACUCUGGUAAGGUCAUAGCUGUUGGCCCUGGCAGCCGUGACAAGGAAGGGAAGCUGAUCCCUGUUGCUCUCAAGGAAGGUGACCAUGUGCUCCUGCCUGAGUAUGGUGGUCUUGAAGUCAAGCUUGCUCCUGAGAAAGAGUACCUCCUCUACAGAGACGAUGACAUUCUGGGCACCCUCCACGAGUGA
Molecule: ribosomal RNA, 303 nt
Filed under: Triticum aestivum (bread wheat)
Lineage: Eukaryota; Viridiplantae; Streptophyta; Magnoliopsida; Poales; Poaceae
Description: partial small subunit ribosomal RNA
Source: RNAcentral